GCCCCUUUGGCCCAAUGGUUAAGGUGUCUCCUUCCUAAGGAGAAGAUUCCUGGUUCAAACCCAGGGAGGGGCU
RNAcentral lists this transfer RNA (73 nucleotides) under Hydnum rufescens UP504. It matches the Rfam family "tRNA". From Rfam's summary of the family: Transfer RNA (tRNA) molecules are approximately 80 nucleotides in length. Their secondary structure includes four short double-helical elements and three loops (D, anti-codon, and T loops). Further hydrogen bonds mediate the characteristic L-shaped molecular structure. tRNAs have two regions of fundamental functional importance: the anti-codon, which is responsible for specific mRNA codon recognition, and the 3' end, to which the tRNAs corresponding amino acid is attached (by aminoacyl-tRNA synthetases). tRNAs cope with the degeneracy of the genetic code in two manners: having more than one tRNA (with a specific anti-codon) for a particular amino acid; and 'wobble' base-pairing, i.e. permitting non-standard base-pairing at the 3rd anti-codon position. The record is from Rfam by way of RNAcentral. Lineage: Eukaryota; Fungi; Basidiomycota; Agaricomycetes; Cantharellales; Hydnaceae.